This 468-nucleotide ribosomal RNA is filed under the name uncultured bacterium. RNAcentral describes it as "partial 16S ribosomal RNA". It matches the Rfam family "Bacterial small subunit ribosomal RNA", at positions 28 to 507 of the family's 1533-position model. The record is from RNAcentral.
GACGAACGCUGGCGGCGUGCUUAACACAUGCAAGUCGAACGGAAAGGCCCUGCUUUUGUGGGGUGCUCGAGUGGCGAACGGGUGAGUAACACGUGAGUAACCUGCCCUUGACUUUGGGAUAACUUCCGGAAACUGGGGCUAAUACCGGAUAGGAGCUCCUGCUGCAUGGUGGGGGUUGGAAAGUUUCGGCGGUUGGGGAUGGACUCGGGGCUUAUCAGCUUGUUGGUGGGGUAGUGGCUUACCAAGGCUUUGACGGGUAGCCGGCCUGAGAGGGUGACCGGCCACAAUGGGACUGAGAUACGGACCAGACUCCAACGGGAGGCAGCAGUGGGGAAUAUUGCACAAUGGGCGGAAGCCUGAUGCAGCAACGCCGCGUGCGGGAUGACGGCCUUCGGGUUGUAAACCGCUUUCGCCUGUGACGAAGCGUGAGUGACGGUAAUGGGUAAAGAAGCACCGGCUAACUACGUG